RNAcentral lists this ribosomal RNA (467 nucleotides) under uncultured bacterium. RNAcentral's name for it is "partial 16S ribosomal RNA". It matches the Rfam family "Bacterial small subunit ribosomal RNA", at positions 28 to 507 of the family's 1533-position model. The record is from RNAcentral.
GACGAACGCUGGCGGCGUGCUUAACACAUGCAAGUCGAACGGAAAGGCUCCAGCUUGCUGGAGUACUCGAGUGGCGAACGGGUGAGUAACACGUGGGUAAUCUGCCCUGCACUCUGGGAUAAGCCUGGGAAACUGGGUCUAAUACUGGAUAUGACCUUUCUCCUUAUGGGGUUUGGUGGAAAGUUUUUCGGUGUAGGAUGGGCCCGCGGCCUAUCAGCUUGUUGGUGGGGUGAUGGCCUACCAAGGCGACGACGGGUAGCCGGCCUGAGAGGGUGAUCGGCCACAUGGGGACUGAGGUACGGCCCAGACUCCUACGGGAGGCAGCAGUGGGGAAUAUUGCACAAUGGGCGGAAGCCUGAUGCAGCGACGCCGCGUGAGGGAUGACGGCCUUCGGGUUGUAAACCUCUUUCAGCAGGGACGAAGCGUAAGUGACGGUACCUGCAGAAGAAGCACCGGCUAACUAUGUG